UUGUCUGUACUGGUGAGAUGAGUCUCUACCUUCUGAGGAACUUUCAUGCCAUUCGUUUGGUGUGAUGGGAAAUCAGGACUGUUACUUUGAAAAAAUUAGGGUGUUUAAAGCAGGCUAACGUCUGAAUACAUUAGCAUGGAAUAAUGAAAUAGGACGGAUUGAUUCUAUUUCGUUGGUUUCUAGGGUCACCGUAAUGAUUAAUAGGGAUAGUUGGGGGCAUUAGUAUUCAAUUGUCAGAGGUGAAAUUCUUGGAUUUAUUGAAGACUAACUACUGCGAAAGCAUUUGCCAAGGAUGUUUUCAUUAAUCAAGAACGAAAGUUAGGGGAUCGAAGACGAUCAGAUACCGUCGUAGUCUUAACCAUAAACUAUGCCGACUAGGGAUCGGACGCAGUUAAUUUUAUAAUGACGUGUUCGGCACCUUACG
This 424-nucleotide ribosomal RNA is filed under the name uncultured Glomeromycotina. Its description in RNAcentral is "SSU rRNA". It matches the Rfam family "Eukaryotic small subunit ribosomal RNA", at positions 671 to 1092 of the family's 1831-position model. Lineage: Eukaryota; Fungi; Glomeromycota. The record is from RNAcentral.